AUUAAAGCGAUGAUUGAGAGAGUAGACGGUCAUGGAGGAUACAAGAGAGAAGAUACCAAAGGCUGAGAGUAUCUUUAUCGGUUCGGGCCGUUGAAAUUCCCUCAGGAGCUGCAUUCUGAACACCGGAAGGAAAAUGGCGUAUAAAGUAAAGCCGGUAAGUAGGAAGUGCCGGGUUGCAUCCGUUAUUUGCAAAAGAGUGCUUGUAUAUCCCAAAAGAUAUACAAGAAUUUGGGUGGUACCGCGAAGCAAACCUUCGUCCCUUUG
RNAcentral lists this non-coding RNA (264 nucleotides) under Acetivibrio straminisolvens. RNAcentral's name for it is "Clostridium straminisolvens T-box sequence". It matches the Rfam family "T-box leader". Rfam says of the family: Uncharged tRNA acts as the effector for transcription antitermination of genes in the T-box leader family. Lineage: Bacteria; Bacillati; Bacillota; Clostridia; Acetivibrionales; Acetivibrionaceae. The record is from RNAcentral.